AUGGAUCCAUCCGCAAAGGCCUACCUCGACAAGCUCACAACGACGAUGGAGGCCAACACCGCGGCCCUCAUUGCGGUCAUCGCCCGCCUCGACGAUCUCGUCGCGUGGCGGCCGGAUCUGGAGCGCCGCGUCUCUGAUCUGGGCGACGCGGUCACCGCCCUCCAACAGGCGCGCCCACCUCCCACCACCGACACCAACGGGGGCGCGCCACCACUCCACACUACGGCGCCACCGCCCGUGCUGCCCUCCAACAACUUGGGCCUGGUGGGAGGCGAUGAGGACACCCCUCAAGGGUCUAAGGACCAUGGCGAUUUCAACCUGCAUCGGGGGAGGCCGGCGGUGUCGUUCCAGACGCCGCCGCCCCUCUCGGCCAACAGUCAGAUCAAAAUCUUAUCUUCUCCUUUUGCGCAUGCUAGUCAGAUGCUUGCGGGCUUGGGACAAGCCCACCCUUCCAUUUCGUUUCCCCAAUUCACGGGCGAGAACUCGAACAUGUGGAAAACGAUGUGCAAGCAGUAUUUUUCCAUGUUUGGCAUUCACAGAACCUUCUGGGUUCCCAUGGCCGCCCUCAACUUCUCGGGGGUUGCGGCCAUUUGGUUACAGUCAGUCCAAAAGAAGCUCAAUAGCUUCGAUUGGGAAUCCUUCUCUGCCCUGUUAACUACACGAUUUGGUCGUGAUCGUCAUCAACUGCUCAUUCGUCAAUUUUACACCAUUAAACAAACAUCAACCGUAGCUGAUUUUAUCGAGCGCUUUGAAUUGAUCAUUAAUCAUUUGAGCUCUUAUUCAGACUCUAUUCACCCAUUUUAUUUUCUCACACGUUUUGUGAAAGGAUUACGGGCGGACAUCCGAGCGGUGGUCAUGGUCCAGCGACCACCCGACCUGGACACGACCUGUGCCUUGGUGCUGCUCCAGGAGGAGGUGGCCGACAACGCGCGUGCGGAGGUGCAGCGGCCCACGCCUACGCGCCCUCCCGACGCAUCGCCGAGGCUCAACGUGCUGCUUCCUCAGCCUCUCCCACUGGCGCGCGCGACACCACCAGCUCCAGCCGCGGAUCGCCGCGGCACAGACGCCGCACGAGCCGACUCAUCCAAGCUCAAGGCCCUGCGCGACUACCGCAGAGCGCGCGGCCUGUGCUUUAAGUGCGGCGAACGAUGGGGACCCGACCUCACCAGCCCGACGUCGGUCCAACUCCACGUCGUCGAAGAACUUCUAGAACUCUUCGGCAUCGACGCAACAUCAGCACCAACGCAACCAGAAACCGCUCAAGAUGAAGUAGUCAUGGCCAUCUCCAAACCGGCCCUAACGGGGGGCGUAUCGAGCAAGGCGUUCCAGUUACGCGCGUGGAUCCAAGGGCGUGAGGUGCUGAUGCUAGUGGACUCCGGCAGCACCACGUCCUUCAUCAACGAGCGCCUGGCAGCGACCAUCCAAGGAGUCCAACCUCUCCCACACACGUAG
This 1452-nucleotide ribosomal RNA is filed under the name Triticum aestivum (bread wheat). RNAcentral's name for it is "partial small subunit ribosomal RNA". The record is from RNAcentral. Lineage: Eukaryota; Viridiplantae; Streptophyta; Magnoliopsida; Poales; Poaceae.